GGACUACGAUUUCACUCAACCCAUGUGACGUUACCAAACUGUUGCCUCGGCGGGAUCUCUGCCCCGGGUGCGUCGCAGCCCCGGACCAAGGCGCCCGCCGGAGGACCAACCAAAACUCUUUUUGUAUACCCCCUCGCGGGUUUUUUAUAAUCUGAGCCUUCUCGGCGCCUCUCGUAGGCGUUUCGAAAAUGAAUCAAAACUUUCAACAACGGAUCUCUUGGUUCUGGCAUCGAUGAAGAACGCAGCGAAAUGCGAUAAGUAAUGUGAAUUGCAGAAUUCAGUGAAUCAUCGAAUCUUUGAACGCACAUUGCGCCCGCCAGUAUUCUGGCGGGCAUGCCUGUCCGAGCGUCAUUUCAACCCUCGAACCCCUCCGGGGGGUCGGCGUUGGGGAUCGGCCCUGCCUCUUGGCGGUGGCCGUCUCCGAAAUACAGUGGCGGUCUCGCCGCAGCCUCUCCUGCGCAGUAGUUUGCACACUCGCAUCGGGAGCGCGGCGCGUCCACAGCCGUUAAACACCCAACUUCUGAAAUGUUGACCUCGGAUCAGGUAGGAAUACCCGCUGAACUUAAGCAUAUCAAUAAGCGGAGGAAACU
Molecule: ribosomal RNA, 590 nt
Filed under: uncultured Trichoderma
Lineage: Eukaryota; Fungi; Ascomycota; Sordariomycetes; Hypocreales; Hypocreaceae
Description: eukaryotic LSU rRNA
Rfam family: 5.8S ribosomal RNA (bases 198-351)
Source: RNAcentral